Molecule: ribosomal RNA, 520 nt
Filed under: uncultured Glomus
Lineage: Eukaryota; Fungi; Glomeromycota; Glomeromycetes; Glomerales; Glomeraceae
Description: SSU rRNA
Rfam family: Eukaryotic small subunit ribosomal RNA
Source: RNAcentral
CGCAGCCGCGGUAAUUCCAGCUCCAAUAGCGUAUAUUAAAGUUGUUGCAGUUAAAAAGCUCGUAGUUGAAUUUCGGGAUCAGCGCGUCGGUCGUGCCUCCGGUAUGCACUGGCGCCGCUGGUUUCUCCCUUCUGAGGAACCGUGAUGUCAUUAAUUUGGUGUCGCGGGAAAUCAGGACUGUUACUUUGAAAAAAUUAGAGUGUUUAAAGCGGGCACGCGCUUGAAUACAUUAGCAUGGAAUAACGAAAUAGGACGUUCGAUCUUAUUUUGUUGGUUUCUAGGAUUGACGUAAUGAUUAAUAGGGAUAGUUGGGGGCAUUAGUAUUCAAUUGUCAGAGGUGAAAUUCUUGGAUUUAUUGAAGACUAACUACUGCGAAAGCAUUUGCCAAGGAUGUUUUCAUUAAUCAAGAACGAAAGUUAGGGGAUCGAAGACGACCAGAUACCGUCGUAGUCUUAACCAUAAACUAUGCCGACUAGGGAUCGGAUGAUGUUAAUUUUAUAAUGACUCAUUCGGCGCCUUA